This 417-nucleotide ribosomal RNA is filed under the name uncultured bacterium. RNAcentral's name for it is "bacterial SSU rRNA". It matches the Rfam family "Bacterial small subunit ribosomal RNA", at positions 355 to 763 of the family's 1533-position model. The record is from RNAcentral.
UGAGGAAUAUUGCGCAAUGGGGGCAACCCUGACGCAGCAACGCCGCGUGAGUGAGGAAGGUUUUCGGACCGUAAAGCUCUGUCGAGCGGGAAGAAAUGCAUGGUGGCUAAUAUCCAUCAUGCUUGACGGUACCGCUAAAGGAAGCACCGGCUAACUCCGUGCCAGCAGCCGCGGUAAUACGGGGGGUGCGAGCGUUGUUCGGAACUAUUGGGCGUAAAGAGCGUGUAGGCGGCCGAAUAAGUCAGAUGUGAAAUCCCUGGGCUUAACCCAGGACGUGCAUUUGAAACUAUUCGGCUGGAGUAGGGGAGAGGAAAGUGGAAGUACUGGUGUAGAGGUGAGAUUCGUAGAUAUCAGGAGGAACACCGGUGGCGAAGGCGACUUUCUGGCCCUAUACUGACGCUGAGACGCGAGAUCGUG